AAAGAAAGGAGUUUGUCAAGGAUGGAAUUAGAAAGGAAAGGCUGCUGACCCAGGGAAUAAAAAUGCAGAAUGAAGUGUGUGGCUAGUACUACAAUCUCCUCUUCCUGAUUAUUGCAUGUCUGAAUAAAGAUCGUAGACAAAGCCUGCAUCGAGUCCAAUGUGAACACCCUGACUGACCACUGUAAAAAAUGGGGACAUUACAGUGGUGAGAACACUGCCUAGAACACAGUAAG
Long non-coding RNA from Fukomys damarensis (Damara mole-rat), 233 nucleotides. RefSeq lists it as uncharacterized. NCBI's taxonomy places the organism in Eukaryota, Metazoa, Chordata, Mammalia, Rodentia, Bathyergidae. The transcript is spliced from 3 exons. The record is from RefSeq and is a predicted model, not a curated record.